Molecule: ribosomal RNA, 356 nt
Filed under: marine copepod environmental sample
Lineage: Eukaryota; Metazoa; Arthropoda; Copepoda
Description: SSU rRNA
Rfam family: Eukaryotic small subunit ribosomal RNA
Source: RNAcentral
AGCUCCAAUAGCGUAUAUUAAAGUUGUUGUGGUUAAAAAGCUCGUAGUUGGAUCUCGGCAGUCAGUCUGAGGGCGGUUUGCUCGAUUGCGUGCUACUGCUCUAUAGGCCGUGGUUUUGCCAGAGGUCUCGGGGUGCUCUUAACCGAGUGUCCUGCGAUGCUGGCAGGUUUACUUUGAAAAAAUUAGAGUGCUCAAAGCAGGCUUUUACGCCUGAAUAUUCGUGCAUGGAAUAAUAGAAUAGGAAGUCGUUUCUAUUUUGUUGGUUUUCGGAAAUCGACUUAAUGAUUAACAGGGGUGAAAUUCUUGGACCGUUUGAAGACAAACUACUGCGAAAGCAUUUGCCAAGAAUGUUUUCA